RNAcentral lists this long non-coding RNA (3937 nucleotides) under Oryza sativa (Asian cultivated rice). Its description in RNAcentral is "long non-coding RNA (OSAT_LNC000187)". The record is from RNAcentral. Lineage: Eukaryota; Viridiplantae; Streptophyta; Magnoliopsida; Poales; Poaceae.
GACUAGUAAGUGUGCACGUUAAACAUUCAUGGUUUUACACUAAGAAUUGAGUACACCCUAUUUCAGCUAAUAUGAAGAAAAAUAAAGAUGGAUGAGAUUAUUUAUACUGUUUGGAAGGUGCUAUAUUAUUAUAUCCCUCGUUUUUCUGGAAGGAAUGGAUCACAAGAAAAAUAUGUGUGAAUGUAUGAAAACCAAAUAAUAGAGAAAAUUACAAAAAAAGAAAAUAUGGCAUUGUCAUCAACAGAGUUGUCCUCCAGCUUCAAUUUAAAAGAAAACUGCAGCCCGAUAAGAGGACGAAUACUAAAAGCAACUUAUUUUAUAAAGUAGUAUUUCAUAGUAUAGCAAUAGUACCAAGCCAAGCUUUCAUAUUAAGGCCAAGGAUUAAACCACAUUUCAAUUGGACACAGUAUAAGCAAAGCGAUUCAAUCCAUCCAUUAUAUUAUAUCUUGAAUGGGCAGUGGAAAUCGAAGAGACAUUCAGAAUCGCCAACAAUACACAACGCAUCUAGCUGAAAAUUUUGAAAACUUGGUUUACUUACAGUUCCGGAUGACUAAGGCACUCCUUUUAUCCAAUUUAUUCAGUUUAACCUGUUGCAGUAGUCAAAUUAAAAUUAAAUUCAAAUCAAACCUACAAAUAUUUAUGAAAUAUCAGUAAAAUCCAACUUCUAAAAUAUAUCCAACUAAAAAAACAUAGUAAAAAGCACAUCAAUUUUAGAAAUUGCUUUGGCAUAGAAAGCUACCUGAAUAUCAGUUUUUGUGGACGCAAUAUCAGAAAAUGAUGGGCAAAUGAUAAAUCAUUAGAAGACUGAAUUUAGACUAAAAAUAAAAAGUAAAACCUAUUGUGACCAACCACAACUGCCAGCUUAGUCUACCCGUUGGCAUGAUCAUCCCAAGGAACUCAAAUAAUAAGUGCUUGCAUUAUGACAUGAACUUGACAUUAAGCUUUGUCAAGAGAUAGUUCCAUGUGAUUCCCUUGAAAACUUUAAUAUAUUCAACUUGCUCCUAGCAUUUAACUCAGUGAACAUUUUGACAUAUAUCCAAUUUAUCAAUACAUGAACUAUUUUAUAAGUAUGGUCGCUGCUUCAGAAUUGUGGAGACAAUUGCUGAGAAAUCCAUCCUCUCUGGCAUUUAGCUCGGGAGUAGUUCGGUGAUAAAAACAUUAAUAAAUCAACAUCCUAUAUAUUUAGGCAUCUGUAAAUUAUAAAUUAUAAGUAGUGCAAUAUAUAAAAUAACAAGUUUUUUUUAAAAUUAGUACUACUUUCUUCUGGAUGAUAUUGAUCUGGAGCCCUUGCCUCGCUUGUAAUCCAUCUCCUAGAGUGGUCAGAAAGGAAGAGCCAAAGAUGUGCAGUGGUCAGGUGCAGCAGCUUUGCUGCUCUCCCCUGCUGUCAACCAUCCAUAUAUACCAGGCCAUUAUUAGAUUUACAUGGGAAAAAAUAAUUAAUCCAAACAUAUAACAUUGCCAUAGCUGUAUAUGUAUAACAUAUGUAACUUGUUUGUCUGCAAAUUUAAAUGGUAAAGUUUCACAAUUUGUUGGAAUUGAAAAUUAUAUUUUGUAUAGCUCACUUGACACUGAUCAUCCGUCAGUAAUCAGCUCGUUUCAACCUGUUGUGGAUGCUACAUAUUAUAUCUUAGCUGAAUUGAAAUGCCUGACAGAGGCAAUAAGAUAUAUUGAGCUAUUUCUAUAGGAACUGCAGAAAGCACUGCUUUUUUAUUCCCUAAAGAAACAGUACCCAUUGUUUUCCUUUUGGAAACCUACCUUGAUAUAAUCAAAUAUAGAGCAAUAUGGAGCAAUAUAGUUUAUUUUACUCCUAUGGCAGUAGAUGAUUUGUGAUCUUCAGCUUAGUCUUCAGGACUCACUGUAUCAACAUAUUUUAGUAACAAUAUAAACCAAAUUUAGUAAAAUCUAAGUGAUUGGUAUAUGAAGUCCAGAAUUAAAAACAUCUCCAAAUCUAAGCCAUCAUACCAGUUUCAUCUCAGAGUUAAUAGGUGCAAAAUCUGAACAAGAAAAUUAGGUUGGACAUAUCGAUAGAGAUUAGUAAAAUCUAAGCUAGUGCUACAUGAAGCCCUGAACUGAACUAAAAAAAAUCUCCGAACCUAAGUCAUCCUGCCAUGUUCAUUUCAGAGUUAAUAGGAACAAAAAUCUGAAAAAAAAUAGAAAAUUAGGUUGCACAUAUCAACAAAUUAAGAUUAGUAAAAUCUAAGCGAGUGAUAUAUGAAGUCGUGAACUAAAAAUAGUCUCCAAACCUAGGCUAUCCUGCCAUCUUCAUUUCUGAGUUAAUAGAUACAUACAUCUGAGAAAAUAGAAAAUUAGGUUGGAGAGGGUAUUCAAUUGAACCUAGCUUUUUAGCAGAAAAUGAAAAGGAAAAGAAAAGUUAUUUAAUUGAAGAUGUACUUGCAGCUCUGAAAUUAAAAGAUAUUCAAUUGAACCUGACUUUUAGCAGCAAAACAGAACCAUCGCAUCAAGUGCAAGUUGGGGAGCUGUUCAGAAGCAAAACGCCACAGUUGGAACACUUUGAAUUCAGAUGAAUUUUACUGAAUGGAGGCAAACAUGUCAUGCCAAUCGGUCUGGCACUACUGCUGAAUCCAAAAGAAAUUAAUUAUUAACUGAUCUAUAAAACAGAUCUUAGCAGCUGAGCAAUUAUACCUCUAAGUUUACGACUAAAUGCUAAUCAACUAAAAAUCUGUGAGUGUUUCAGUUGCAACGGAGUAAAUUAGUAACUGCAAGAACUGAACCUAUGGCCAAAUGUAGAUUGCAUACCAGUAUUUGUGAUUUGGGUUCCAGGUAAUCAAAUAGUCUACUUUGUCGAUAAUAUAGUGGACACAUACAUUCAGAAAAUAGGAACAACGCGGUUUUUUUUAGUUUCAGUGUGAGAAAGAGAGCAGACCUAUCAAGCCUCAACAAUCAUCAGAUCAUGGAGCGAUUUUCUUUAUUUCUUAGUAAAGCUUCCUUAUGGACAAUUUAAGUUCCUGAAUAUGCCAAUCAUGACUCAUGAGUGGUGUACCAUUCUCAGAGCCAAGAACGAGAUCGAUGUCACAAUAUGUAGAAACAACUUAGCUGCAGUAAACUGAAGCAAAGCAAAUGAGCACAGAUGAUAUGACGAUGCCUGGCAAGCUUUCUAUGCUGCGAUUCAUCCCAGGGAGAUGAUCGGUACGGAAAACAACAGUUCUACCAAGGUCACUUCGCUAUUCUCAGAUAGUCAGAUGUAUUAUCAUUAUUCACAAAUCACAACAGCAGCAGGAAUCAAGUCUGCCCUGCAUUUGGGUUGGUUCCAGAACCGUGCGGCGAUUGUUGAAGAAGAGGAAGGGGGAAGCAAUGGAUGAUUACCUGCUUGACCACCAUCGUCGGCGAAGCGAAGAACGUGUAGCACGGCCUGCCCGCUGACCUGAACAGGAUGGAGGAGCGGGAAGCCUCGCCGGCGGCCGUCCUGACAACCUUCUGCGGCGGCGGGGUGAUCAGCUGAGGAGGGGGCGAUGGGGUUGGAAGGGGCGGUUGGAGGAAGGGCGGUGUUCCAGUGGUGGCGGCGGACCCGGCGACGUGCGGUUGCCGCGGAGGACGUUGAUGACGGCGGCUGCGGAGGGCUAGAAGGGAGGGGAGGCAGCAGGACGGAUGUGAACCUCGCCGUUCCGGCGCCGGCGCGGUGCAGCACCCGUCAGCAAGGGAAGGGGGGAUGCGGGGCGGUGGGGCGGGGGCGCGUUACGCGCGUAGGAGGCGGCGGCGGCGGCGAUGCGGCCCGCUUCCUCGGCAACGACGACGGCUCCGACGGGAGGUGGCGGCCACAGGCGAUCCGAGGCAGCGGCGGGGUAGGGAAAUCGGGAGCGCAGCCACGCGAGCGGAGCGGCGCCGGCGGGCGCGCAGGAGGCGAGCGGCGGGCGGCGCCGCGCAGGAGGAUAGGUUUUCCCUUUUUUUUUUCGGCGGCGGUGGGUUCUUUUCACUUUUU